This 215-nucleotide long non-coding RNA is filed under the name Elaeis guineensis (African oil palm). RNAcentral describes it as "long non-coding RNA (EGUI_LNC040379)". Lineage: Eukaryota; Viridiplantae; Streptophyta; Magnoliopsida; Arecales; Arecaceae. The record is from RNAcentral.
AAAACUUUAUUUUUUAAAUACCUAGUGAAAUAUAAGAUUAAAAUAUUUUUAAUCUGAAUCAUGCAUGCAUAAAAAUAUAAAACCACAAGAAUCUAGUUCAUGUGCUGAAAUUGACAUAUGCUGAAAUUCAUAUUGUGAUCAAUUCACAUACCUAUUUCGCAAUCUCUUUCUUCAAAUCUAAAUCUGAAAGAGAAAAUUUUUUUUCUAGCCACACA